UGGGGAAUUUUGGACAAUGGGCGAAAGCCUGAUCCAGCAAUGCCGCGUGUGUGAAGAAGGCCUUCGGGUUGUAAAGCACUUUUGUCCGGAAAGAAAUCCUUGGCUCUAAUACAGUCGGGGGAUGACGGUACCGGAAGAAUAAGCACCGGCUAACUACGUGCCAGCAGCCGCGGUAAUACGUAGGGUGCAAGCGUUAAUCGGAAUUACUGGGCGUAAAGCGUGCGCAGGCGGUCCGCUAAGACAGAUGUGAAAAUCCCCCGGGCUUAACCUGGGAACUGCAUUUGUGACUGGCGGGCUAGAGUAUGGCAGAGGGGGGUAAAUUCCACGUGUAGCAGUGAAAUGCGUAGAGAUGUGGAGGAAUACCGAUGGCGAAGGCAGCCCCCUGGGCCAAUACUGACGCUCAUGCACGAAAGCGUGGGGGAGCAAACAGGAUUAGAUACCCUGGUAGUCCACGCCCUAAACGAUGU
Molecule: ribosomal RNA, 467 nt
Filed under: uncultured bacterium
Lineage: Bacteria
Description: partial 16S ribosomal RNA
Rfam family: Bacterial small subunit ribosomal RNA
Source: RNAcentral